RNAcentral lists this ribosomal RNA (932 nucleotides) under uncultured archaeon. RNAcentral's name for it is "bacterial SSU rRNA". It matches the Rfam family "Archaeal small subunit ribosomal RNA", at positions 1 to 920 of the family's 1478-position model. The record is from RNAcentral.
UCCGGUUGAUCCUGCCGGACCCGACUGCUAUUUGGGUGAGGAUAAGCCAUGCGAGUUGAAUGGGAUACCUAAAUUUCCCAUGGCAAACUGCUCAGUAACACAUGAUCAACUUGCCCUAUAGAGAAAAAUAACCUCGGGAAACUGAGGAUAAUGUUUCAUAGCUGAAUUGGCUUGGAAAAGUUUUUCAGUAAAAGGGAUAAAAAAAAUGGUUUUUAUCUGCUAUAGGAUAGGAUCGUGUUCGAUUAUGGUUGUUGGUGAGGUAACGGCUCACCAAGCCGAUAAUCGGUAGGGGCCGUGAGAGCGGGAGCCCCGAGAUGGGUACUGAGACAACGACCCAGGCCUUACGAGGCGCAGCAGGCGCGAAACCUCCGCAAUACACGAAAGUGUGACGGGGUUACCCAAAGUGUUCAUCAUUGAACUGUGGUAGGUGAGUAAUGUUCCCUACUAGAAAGGAGAGGGCAAGGCUGGUGCCAGCCGCCGCGGUAAAACCAGCUCUUCAAGUGGUCGGGAUAAUUAUUGGGCUUAAAGUGUCCGUAGCCGGUUUAGUAAGUUCCUGGUAAAAUCGGGUAGCUUAACUAUCUAUAUGCUAGGAAUACUACCACACUAGAGGGCGGGAGAGGUCUGAGGUACUACAGGGGUAGGGGUGAAAUCUUAUAAUCCUUGUAGGACCACCAGUGGCGAAGGCGUCAGACUGGAACGCGCCUGACGGUGAGGGACGAAAGCCAGGGGAGCGAACCGGAUUAGAUACCCGGGUAGUCCUGGCCGUAAACGAUGCAUACUAGGUGAUGGUACGGCCAUGAGCCGUGUCAGUGCCGUAGGGAAACCGUUAAGUGUGCCGCCUGGGAAGUACGGUCGCAAGGCUAAAACUUAAAGGAAUUGGCGGGGGAGCACCACAAGGGGUGAAGCCUGCGGUUCAAUUGGAGUCAACGCCG